Molecule: transfer RNA, 72 nt
Filed under: bacterium
Lineage: Bacteria
Description: tRNA-Ile
Rfam family: tRNA
About the family: Transfer RNA (tRNA) molecules are approximately 80 nucleotides in length.
Source: RNAcentral
CCACCUCUAGCUCAAUGGUAGAGCAGACGACUUAUACUCGUCCGGUUCCUGGUUCGAGUCCAGGGAGGUGGA